CUGCUGCCUCCCGUAGGAGUUUGGGCCGUGUCUCAGUCCCAAUGUGGCCGGUUCACCCUCUCAGGCCGGCUACUGAUCGUUGCCUUGGUAGGCCAUUACCCCACCAACUAGCUAAUCAGACGCGGAACCAUCGUAUACCACCAGAGUUUUUCACACCGCUUCAUGCGAAGCUGUGCGCUUAUGCGGUAUUAGCACCUAUUUCUAAGUGUUAUCCCCCAGUAUACGGCAGGUUUUCCACGCGUUACUCACCCGUCCGCA
This 258-nucleotide ribosomal RNA is filed under the name uncultured bacterium. RNAcentral's name for it is "partial 16S ribosomal RNA". The record is from RNAcentral.